This 355-nucleotide RNase P RNA is filed under the name Selenihalanaerobacter shriftii. Its description in RNAcentral is "Bacterial RNase P class A". It matches the Rfam family "Bacterial RNase P class A". Rfam says of the family: Ribonuclease P (RNase P) is a ubiquitous endoribonuclease, found in archaea, bacteria and eukarya as well as chloroplasts and mitochondria. Its best characterised activity is the generation of mature 5'-ends of tRNAs by cleaving the 5'-leader elements of precursor-tRNAs. The record is from Rfam by way of RNAcentral. Lineage: Bacteria; Bacillati; Bacillota; Clostridia; Halanaerobiales; Halobacteroidaceae.
UAAGUAGACUAAGUAAUCGUAAGUAGAGAUUGAAUCUCUACUUGAGGAAAGUCCGAGCUCCAUAGAGCAGGGUGCUGGGUAACACUCAGCCAAAGUGAUUUGCGGGAAAGUGCCACAGAGAGUAUACCGCCUACUGUAAAGUAGGUAAGGGUGAAAGGGUGCGGUAAGAGCGCACCGGGGGUCUGGUGACAGACACCGCAUGGUAAACCCCGCCUGGAGCAAGACCAAAUAGGGGGAGGUUAAGGGCUGCUCGUCCAUCUUCUCGGGUUAGGUCGCUUGAGGUAGUAGGUAACUACUACCCUAGAUAGAUGAUUACUUUAAAUGACAGAACUCGGCUUACAGGUCUGCUUAUUUG